Long non-coding RNA from Ictalurus punctatus (channel catfish), 850 nucleotides. Lineage: Eukaryota; Metazoa; Chordata; Actinopteri; Siluriformes; Ictaluridae. The record is from Ensembl.
CGCACUAGCAGCUCUAACUGCACUCACACAGGUCUAACUGCACUCGCACUAGCAGCUCUAACUGCACUCGCACGAACAGCUCUAACUGCACUCGCAGCUCUAACUGCACUCGCCACUAACAGCUCUAACUGCACUCGCACUAGCAGCUCAUACUGUGCGAUUUUGGCAACAACAUCGGACUCUGUCGUCUUUGCUGUUUCCUUUUUCUCUGCGGCGGUUGUAAACACUUCCUGUUCCAGCGCGGUUUCAUGUUCGCUUAGAUUAAAGUUUUGAAACUUUGGGACUACGUUGUUUACAUCGGUUUGAUCCUUAAACAAGACUUGGGUGAAGAAUUUCUGUUGGGAAUCCUCGACUUCACGCUGUCUGGAAGCUUCGCUCGAAGCAAAGUUAACGGAAAUGAGCUUCUUAUUGUAAGUAACGGUGGCUAGCUAACUAGUCAGACCUCUGUCUGUUAUUAUGCAGCGACGUGGUGGUUGUUUGGAGAUAACUAGAGAUAUUUUGGUGGGAUAAUCCCCGCUGAAUCGAUGUAAACCAUCACUAAACAGUCAGUAAUAGACUAACUAGUUACUAGCCCAUAGUUAGAGUAACUUUCCUGUCUCCUCAUGUGGCUCAGGCCAGCUUUAUGAGUAACGUUAGUUAGCCAACACAGCUACAACCACGGUAAGAUUUAACAAAUAUAUCAAAUAUUAGUUUUUAUAUUAGCGUAUACAACACUAGUGUAAGUUUAUAUUUGAAACAUCAAUCCCCUGGACGCCUUUAUUAGGCCGUGUUUUCUCUUCCUCGAAGGCUCUCCAUGAAGCUUCCGCUAAAGCACUUAAGAUGAAUAAAUGAAGUUAUAAACCAUCUGUCG